Molecule: long non-coding RNA, 1468 nt
Filed under: Nicotiana benthamiana
Lineage: Eukaryota; Viridiplantae; Streptophyta; Magnoliopsida; Solanales; Solanaceae
Description: long non-coding RNA (NBEN_LNC041185)
Source: RNAcentral
UAGACACCACAUGCUCACUAUAUCAAAGAGAGAUUUAAACAGUACAACACCUAUUUUUAGAAUGUGAACUGACAGCAACUAUAUGGCAGCAGCUUCUAAAAUGGCAAGGAGUCCAAAGAUCAAAGCUAGAUUGGAGGGAAGAGCUGGCGUGGAUAGAAAGAAGAGCUAAAGAUAAAAGUGGGGAGCCGAACUAUGCCGAAUGACCUUAGCAGCAGCAAUAUAUCUUAUUUGGCAGGAGAGGAAUAAUGUCUUUUUCCAGCAGAAGAGUAGACCAACAAAAGCCCUAAUAAGAUCAAUCAUUUAGGAAAUUCAUGUCAGAGCUACCAUGUUUCCUAGGCUAGAAAGAACUUUGAAUACUUUGAAUUGGUAUCCUGAAAUAACAUAACAAUUCCAAAAAUAGAAAAGGGAAAGAGUAGGAAGGGUAGGUAAAUCCUAACCGGGUCUAUAUGCCUAGCGGGAGUAAAGAGAGCAAGAAAGCUCAGUUUUGUCUAGGCUGUAAAUAUUUACACUUGGUAAAUAAAAUCAUUUUCAAAAAGAAUUAAAAUUCAUUAUUCAAAUCGUCAUUCACCUAUUAAAAAUUAUUUAGUAAAGCUAUGUUUCUCUUUUAACAUAAAAGUCACUUAAUUAUAAUUAUAGCACUCGAUAAGUUACUCAAUCAGAUUUCUCAAACUUUUUUGUGCCAUCUAUUUUUAAAGUUUUCUCUUUUUUUUUUACUUUUUAAUAUUACAUUUUUAUUCUCUUUAUCUAUAUUAUAAAACUUAUAUAUAGAAAGAAUAAAUUUUAUUUAUAAAGUAAAGAGUAUAAAAUAAUUUUUUAACAUAUAUAAUAUGAUAAUAAUUUAAUAAUUCUCUAUUAUUGCUAUUUGUAGGUUAAACAAUAUAACGAUAUCUUUCAACAACAACAAUAAUAACAACUCAGUAUAAUCUCAUUUAGCGAUGUUUGAAAAGAAUAGUGUGUACGCAAAUCUUAUUCUUAUCCUUAGAUAGAAAGACAAUUUUCAAAUAAACCCCGAUAUCCUUCCCUUCAAAAACUUCCCACUUUGCUUUUAGGAAGAUUCAAACUCCCAACCUCUCGGUUGAAAGUGGGAGUUGCUUACCAUCAGAGCAAGUUUUCAUCUUUUAAUUUUUAUUUGGAAUGAGAACAAAUAUGCAGUGGCUUGCUCACAGCAACCUACAAAACAGCACCUGUAACAUGAAAAAUGAAGUGUUUCACCAUCCCAUCAAACACGUGUACUAUUCCCAAUUAAACCUUAAUUCCAUCUUAGCUAACUAUUCCACCGCUUCAAUUCAUCACUUCUGUGCGUCUCUUAGUCUCCUUUCCCAGAGCCAUUUUAAAGCUGCUCAAAUUCAAACUCUUAAAACAAAAGCAGUGAAUUAAAAAAGCUCUACUUCUAUAAAUAAAAAAAACAUGAAGCAAAAAUGAGUCAAGAACAAGAAAGAAGACCUGAUGAGGCUGCAGGCAUAGAACC